GGGGGCGAAUGGCUUCGACCGGAUGGCGGAUCGACAAGCUGCAUGCCCAGGACGCCGGGUGGCCUGGUUAAUCAUCCGGCGCUAAACUCAAUUGGCAACUAUCAGUUGCGCAUGGCUGCCUAAUUAGGCGGCCCGUCCUGCCCGACUUUGCCUGCGGGUUGGUCAAGGGCGUCAGACAGCGGGCUGGCCACCGCCGGUUUUUCGGGCCGGCGGGGCGAGAACUCUCCGAAAUAGCCGACUCACGAGCCUGUCGCUUGGCGCUUGGGAAGGCGAAUCGAUAAUAGAGCGACUACGCAUGUAGAGGCUUGUCCUGAAACAUCUCGGGACGGGGGUUCGAAUCCCCCCGCCUCCAUUC
RNAcentral lists this transfer-messenger RNA (355 nucleotides) under Phycisphaerales bacterium. It matches the Rfam family "transfer-messenger RNA". From Rfam's summary of the family: Bacterial tmRNA, also known as 10Sa RNA or SsrA, is named for its dual tRNA and mRNA-like properties. Its role is to liberate the mRNA from a stalled ribosome. RNAcentral also lists the same sequence under 1 other name. The record is from RNAcentral. Lineage: Bacteria; Pseudomonadati; Planctomycetota; Phycisphaerae; Phycisphaerales.